GUCUUGUGGUCUUCGAGACGUUUAAGGAGUGCUCGAUCAGGCUUCAUGGGACACUGGGCAUGUCUGCGGGUUUCCAUGCGAAAACGCUUACGUUGUCCCUUAGAAACCUGACGAGCGUGUCUUCCUAUUUGGCGUCCAGGUUGGCCCCCAUGAGAGCCGUCUUCUCUGGGCUGCCGUCGAAUAGUUGUACUUCUUUGUGGUCUUUGGACUUGGAGCUUUUUCUUGGAGUCUCCUGCUCGGGUAGUUGGAGCUGAUCAUUUUUUUUUGAGGGAGGUAGUUGGAGCCGAUCGGGUGGAACUUUGGUGGCUUGUGCUAUAGUUUCUGCCAUGCGAAUCGAGAGGUCAAUUGCCUCGGUGAUCUUGAAGCUUUCCUCUUUGCA
This 379-nucleotide long non-coding RNA is filed under the name Sorghum bicolor (sorghum). RNAcentral's name for it is "long non-coding RNA (SBIC_LNC015778)". Lineage: Eukaryota; Viridiplantae; Streptophyta; Magnoliopsida; Poales; Poaceae. The record is from RNAcentral.